Molecule: long non-coding RNA, 1035 nt
Organism: Salvelinus sp. IW2-2015
Lineage: Eukaryota; Metazoa; Chordata; Actinopteri; Salmoniformes; Salmonidae
Source: RefSeq, a predicted model, not a curated record
UAGUUAAAUAUCGGUUUAGAAAUCUAUGUUCAGCACAAUGUAGAAUUGAAUACUAUACUAAUGAUUCAUUUCUUAACUUUCUCUGUUGCAGCAGGAAUUCACAGAAGGUAAGCCAAGGAUGGGAAGAUUAUGCACCUGUGUCGUAGGGGAUACUUUCAAUUCUGAUAAGGACUUGGUAAGACAACUCACUGGCAGAGGAGACUGUACUGAAGUGUCACUAGUGGAGAGUGAUGUCAUCAUAAUGAUCUGUCCUAUGUUCGGUAACUUUGGAAUUCUGGACCUUGAUAUACAACUGGAGGUGGUCUCAGAAUACCUAGCUGGUAGACCUGUUGUUCUGGUGGUGCUGCAUCAUGACACUUUUGACCCAGACUCCACUAUACCUGACAGCAGCAGACUAGUGACCAGGGGCGAGGUAAUACUCACAGUGGACUGUCUGUUUAAUCACAGAGGACUGCUGGACUGUCCUCGCAAUAAAGAAGCAGUCGAUAUGAUUCUGAAGAGGCUAAACGUCCAACCAAAGGUAUAUUAAACUUAUAGCCCACUUUAAGUUAUUUAGCACCCGCACUUGCCCCUGUUUGGGUGGGUUGAGUUUUGGCCAGCCUGGCGACAUAAUGAGUUAAAAGACAAUUUAAAAAAGGGAUUUCCAAACUUCUCUGCCAAUAACAGCUAGUUUUCAGUUUUCCCCUCCCCACUCAGACCACUCCCAGACAGUCCUAGGAAAAAUUAUGUUUGGCUCAAUGUAUGACUGAAUUGUAUAAGCACUUCUUUCAAUCAACUUAUGGAAACCACCAAAAUGACUGUUGAAGGGAUGCAAUGAAUUGUAUAUUGAUAUUGAAUUGAGUUUCCAACUGACACGAGUUGAAUAUAUUGUACAUUAAACAACAACAACAAAAYACUGUUGUAAAAGUAAUUAAACAGUUUCCCCUAUUGAAUGUGCAUUGAUUGAAACCUGAAGUCAUCUGAAAUAAAAUCUUCAAAUGCUGAUGACGUCUUGCAAAUGCAAUAAAAACAAAAACAGCUUUGAUGAAAUGUGAA